RNAcentral lists this ribosomal RNA (458 nucleotides) under uncultured marine microorganism. RNAcentral describes it as "bacterial SSU rRNA". It matches the Rfam family "Bacterial small subunit ribosomal RNA", at positions 356 to 829 of the family's 1533-position model. The record is from RNAcentral.
GGGGAAUUUUCCGCAAUGGGCGAAAGCCUGACGGAGCAAUACCGCGUGAGGGAGGAAUGCCUUUGGGUUGUAAACCUCUUUUCUCAGGGAAGAAGAUCUGACGGUACCUGAGGAAUAAGUAUCGGCUAACUCCGUGCCAGCAGCCGCGGUAAUACGGAGGAUGCAAGCGUUAUCCGGAAUCAUUGGGCGUAAAGCGUCCGCAGGUGGUUUUCAAAGUCUGCUGUCAAAGACUGGAGCUCAACACCGGAAAGGCGGUGGAAACUUGGAAACUAGAGUUCGGUAGGGGUAGCAGGAAUUCCCAGUGUAGCGGCGAAAUGCGUAGAUAUUGGGAAGAACAUCGGUGGCGAAGGCGUGCUACUGGACCGCAACUGACACUCAGGGACGAAAGCUAGGGGAGCGAAAGGGAUUAGAUACCCCUGUAGUCCUAGCUGUAAACGAUGGAAACUAGGUGUGGCUUG